This 424-nucleotide ribosomal RNA is filed under the name uncultured bacterium. Its description in RNAcentral is "bacterial SSU rRNA". It matches the Rfam family "Bacterial small subunit ribosomal RNA", at positions 32 to 447 of the family's 1533-position model. The record is from RNAcentral.
AAUCAACGCUGGCGGCGUGCCUCAGACAUGCAAGUCGAACGAUUAAAGCUCUCUUCGGAGAGUGUAUAGAGUGGCGCACGGGUGAGUAACACGUAAGUAAUCUACCCUCGAGUGGGGAAUAACAACCGGAAACGGUUGCUAAUACCGCAUAAUGCAGCGGCACCGCAAGGUGACAGUUGUUAAAGAUUUAUCGCUUGAGGAGGAGCUUGCGGCAGAUUAGCUAGUUGGUAGGGUAACGGCUUACCAAGGCUACGAUCUGUAACCGGUCUAAGAGGACGGUCGGUCACACUGACACUGAAUAACGGGUCAGACUCCUACGGGAGGCAGCAGUCGGGAAUUUUGGGCAAUGGGCGAAAGCCUGACCCAGCAACGCCGCGUGAAGGAUGAAGUAUUUCGGUAUGUAAACUUCGAAAGAAUAAGGAAG